Molecule: non-coding RNA, 105 nt
Filed under: Syntrophotalea acetylenica
Lineage: Bacteria; Pseudomonadati; Thermodesulfobacteriota; Desulfuromonadia; Desulfuromonadales; Syntrophotaleaceae
Description: Pelobacter acetylenicus TPP sequence
Rfam family: TPP riboswitch aptamer (THI element)
About the family: Vitamin B(1) in its active form thiamin pyrophosphate (TPP) is an essential coenzyme that is synthesised by coupling of pyrimidine and thiazole moieties in bacteria.
Source: Rfam by way of RNAcentral
CACAGCCGCUGGGGGCGUCACUGCACUGAGAGUCCCAGAUAGACGGGACAACCCUUGGAACCUGACCCGGAUCAUGCCGGCGUAGGGAAGCGGUGUCGCAGGGCA